This 202-nucleotide long non-coding RNA is filed under the name Mytilus galloprovincialis (Mediterranean mussel). Lineage: Eukaryota; Metazoa; Mollusca; Bivalvia; Mytilida; Mytilidae. The record is from RNAcentral.
CUAAUUUCAGAUGUUUAGCAAGCAACACAUAUUCCUCUUUCUUUAAAUUAUCAAACCCUCCAGGUCUGGCGUUUUCAAAAAUUUACCGGCAUCAAAUGCCAUUUUGUAGAAUUUUGUUGGCUAGUUAUAAUAAAAAUUACUAAACAAAUUUUGAAUAAGAUAUUUUCAGUAUCCCGGACGAGCCCCAAUUUCUGUUACGGCC